RNAcentral lists this ribosomal RNA (460 nucleotides) under uncultured bacterium. RNAcentral describes it as "partial 16S ribosomal RNA". It matches the Rfam family "Bacterial small subunit ribosomal RNA", at positions 338 to 795 of the family's 1533-position model. The record is from RNAcentral.
CCUACGGGAGGCUGCAGUGAGGAAUAUUGGUCAAUGGACGGAAGUCUGAACCAGCCAUGCCGCGUGCAGGAAGACGGCUCUAUGAGUUGUAAACUGCUUUUGUACAAGGGUAAACCUGAAUACGUGUAUUCUGCUGCAAGUACUGUACGAAUAAGGAUCGGCUAACUCCGUGCCAGCAGCCGCGGUAAUACGGAGGAUCCAAGCGUUAUUCGGAUUUAUUGGGUUUAAAGGGUGCGUAGGCGGAUUGAUAAGUUAGAGGUGAAAUGUCCGAGCUUAACUCGGGAACUGCCUCUAAUACUGUUGAGCUUGAGAGUAGAUGAGGUAGGCAGAAUGUAUGGUGUAGCGGUGAAAUGCUUAGAGAUCAGACAGAACACCGAUUGCGAAGGCAGCUUACCAAGCUAUAUCUGACGUUGAGGCACGAAAGCGUGGGGAGCAAACAGGAUUAGAUACCCCAGUAGUC